CCUUAGUAACGGCGAGUGAAGCGGCAAUAGCUCAAAUUUGAAAGCUGGCCCCUUCGGGGUCCGCAUUGUAAUUUGUAGAGGAUGAUUCGGCGAGGGCUCCCGUCUAAGUCCCCUGGAACGGGGCGUCAUAGAGGGUGAGAAUCCCGUAUGUGAUGGGUUGCCUUAGCCAUGUGAAUCUCCUUCGACGAGUCGAGUUGUUUGGGAAUGCAGCUCUAAAUGGGAGGUAAAUUUCUUCUAAAGCUAAAUACCGGCCAGAGACCGAUAGCGCACAAGUAGAGUGAUCGAAAGAUGAAAAGCACUUUGGAAAGAGAGUUAAAAAGUACGUGAAAUUGUUGAAAGGGAAGCGCUUGCAGCCAGACUUGUCCGCAGUUGCUCAACCGGUCUCCUGACCGGUGUACUCUUCUGCGGCCAGGCCAGCAUCAGUUCGGGCGGUCGGAUAAAGGCCUCGGGAAUGUAGCUCCUCUCGGGGAGUGUUAUAGCCCGGGGCGGAAUGCGACCAGCCUGGACUGAGGAUCUCGCUUCGGCUAGGAUGCUGGCGUAAUGGCUGUAAGCGGCCCGUCUU
RNAcentral lists this ribosomal RNA (562 nucleotides) under Sardiniella urbana. RNAcentral describes it as "eukaryotic LSU rRNA". It matches the Rfam family "Eukaryotic large subunit ribosomal RNA", at positions 78 to 655 of the family's 3401-position model. The record is from RNAcentral. Lineage: Eukaryota; Fungi; Ascomycota; Dothideomycetes; Botryosphaeriales; Botryosphaeriaceae.